GCUACAGGCUUAACACAUGCAAGUCGAGGGGCAGCACUAGGUAGCAAUACUGAGGUGGCGACCGGCGCACGGGUGCGUAACGCGUAUCCAACCUUCCCGUUACUCAGGGAUAGCCUUCCGAAAGGGAGAUUAAUACCUGAUGGUGUUCAAAUUCCGCAUGUUAUUUGAACUAAAGAUUUAUCGGUAACGGAUGGGGAUGCGUGACAUUAGGUAGAUGGCGGGGUAACGGCCCACCAUGCCUACGAUGUCUAGGGGUUCUGAGAGGAAGGUCCCCCACACUGGAACUGAGACACGGUCCAGACUCCUACGGGAGGCAGCAGUGAGGAAUAUUGGUCAAUGGCCGGAAGGCUGAACCAGCCAAGUAGCGUGAAGGAUGAAGGUUCUAUGGAUUGUAAACUUCUUUUAUACGGGAAUAAAACCACCUACGUGUAGGUGCUUGUAUGUACCGUAUGAAUAAGCAUCGGCUAACUCCGUGCCAGCAGCCGCGGUAAUACGGAGGAUGCGAGCGUUAUCCGGAUUUAUUGGGUUUAAAGGGAGCGUAGACGGGAGAUUAAGUCAGUUGUGAAAGGCUGCGGCUCAACCGCAGCACUGCAGUUGAUACUGGUUUCCUUGAGUGCGGUUGAGGUGUAUGGAAUUCGUGGUGUAGCGGUGAAAUGCUUAGAUAUCACGAAGAACUCCGAUUG
This 683-nucleotide ribosomal RNA is filed under the name uncultured bacterium. Its description in RNAcentral is "bacterial SSU rRNA". It matches the Rfam family "Bacterial small subunit ribosomal RNA", at positions 39 to 715 of the family's 1533-position model. The record is from RNAcentral.